AAUGCUCUUUUGAACACAUCACUUCCCUGUACCCAUGGGACAAAGGCAACAGGAAGGGCUGCCACUCACAGGCCACACCUAUUCCUUAGUGAAGGAGAUCUGAGCAAAGGAGUACAAAUGCUUUGCACCCUGCCAGGCUUCAGGCAAUGUAGCACCUUUGUAGUCAGCCCAUGGGACUCUUUUGGAGGCUGUGCCUGGCAGCAAGGGGGAGAGAGAUCCUUAUUACUACUCUGAAUGCAACACGUUGUCUCAAAACCAUCUAUAGAGCUCCAGGCCCAGAGAUGUUCCCCUACCACAGAGGCUUACUGGUGUUUCGCAGGGUCCUGGUGGCGAAUGCAGCUGCCUCCCCUGCAGAGAGGCUGAGCCUGGUCGGAGCAAGAAGCUCGGCUGCACCGCUCACCUGCAGGAGAAGGACCCAUCACUCCGUGCUGGUACCGUUGUCAGCAGUGCUCUUGCCGAUUGCAAGACUGGUGGAAGCAUCAAAGGGGUGCCCUUGGAAUGUGUGCCUAAUGAUGAUCAAUGAAAAUAGAAGCCCUGUUGCAGCGAGACUCAUGAGGUCCUGCUCACAGCUGGCACACAGAGGCAUGGCUGUAAAAAGAAGAUGCUGGGCAUCAGGACUAAUUGUCCCACCAGAUUCCUCCUCACCUUGGAAAACCCUUGUCUCCUCCCAGCAGGGGAGAUGGGCCGCCUGUCCUGGUGUGGAUACUGGUAUGCCAGCCAGAUGCUCUGCGAGCAGAUAAUGUGAACCUCAAGGAAAGCAGAGAGAUGGAAGCAAGAGAGGCACGUGGGAGGACUAAUCCCAGAGGAUACUAUGAUCUGCUGAGUUUUCAGUUUGAAGUUCUGGAGCUGAAGGGUUGCAUUCCCUGGUGGACUAGAAAUAGCUGCAGAUAUGAAGCUUGACAUUAAUGCACUGUGGUUUAAAUCUUUGUGUGCUCACAAACCAGGAGUCAUCGUAGUUACAUGGCACAAUGAAAUGUGCAGGCCAAAACAAAUAAAUGCUCUUAGUCUGGAAAGGGAAUAGAAGCA
Molecule: long non-coding RNA, 1026 nt
Filed under: Anser brachyrhynchus (Pink-footed goose)
Lineage: Eukaryota; Metazoa; Chordata; Aves; Anseriformes; Anatidae
Description: lncRNA (ENSABRG00000009898.1)
Source: RNAcentral